ACGGAAGGCAGCAGUGGGGAAUAUUGGGCAAUGGGCGAAAGCCUGACCCAGCAACGCCGCGUGAAGGAAGAAGGUCUUCGGAUUGUAAACUUCUUUUAUGAGGGACGAAGGAAUUGACGGUACCUCAUGAAUAAGCCACGGCUAACUACGUGCCAGCAGCCGCGGUAAUACGUAGGUGGCAAGCGUUAUCCGGAUUUACUGGGUGUAAAGGGCGCGUAGGCGGGGAAGCAAGUCAGAUGUGAAAUCCAUGGGCUCAACUCAUGAACUGCAUUUGAAACUGUUUUUCUUGAGUGUCGGAGAGGUAGAUGGAAUUCCUAGUGUAGCGGUGAAAUGCGUAGAUAUUAGGAGGAACAUCGGUGGCGAAGGCGGCUUACUGGGCCUUUACUGACGCUGAGGCACGAAAGCGUGGGGAGCAAACAGGAUUAGAUACCCUGGUA
This 437-nucleotide ribosomal RNA is filed under the name uncultured Oscillospiraceae bacterium. Its description in RNAcentral is "bacterial SSU rRNA". It matches the Rfam family "Bacterial small subunit ribosomal RNA", at positions 341 to 792 of the family's 1533-position model. Lineage: Bacteria; Bacillati; Bacillota; Clostridia; Eubacteriales; Oscillospiraceae. The record is from RNAcentral.